This 454-nucleotide ribosomal RNA is filed under the name uncultured bacterium. RNAcentral describes it as "partial 16S ribosomal RNA". It matches the Rfam family "Bacterial small subunit ribosomal RNA", at positions 28 to 507 of the family's 1533-position model. The record is from RNAcentral.
GAUGAACGCUGACAGAAUGCUUAACACAUGCAAGUCAACUUGAACUUCGGUUUGGGUGGCGGACGGGUGAGUAACGCGUAAAGAACUUGCCUCACAGUUAGGGACAACAUUUGGAAACGAAUGCUAAUACCUGAUAUUAUGAUUUUAGGGCAUCCUAGAAUUAUGGAAGCUAUAUGCGCUGUGAGAGAGCUUUGCGUCCCAUUAGCUAGUUGGAGAGGUAACGGCUCACCAAGGCGAUGAUGGGUAGCCGGCCUGAGAGGGUGAACGGCCACAAGGGGACUGAGACACGGCCCUUACUCCUACGGGAGGCAGCAGUGGGGAAUAUUGGACAAUGGACCAAGAGUCUGAUCCAGCAAUUCUGUGUGCACGAUGAAGUUUUUCGGAAUGUAAAGUGCUUUCAGUUGGGAAGAAAAAAAUGACGAUACCAACAGAAGAAGUGACGGCUAAAUACGUG